CGCGAAAGACCUUACCAGGUCUUGACAUCCUCUGACAACCCUAGAGAUAGGGCUUCUCCUUCGGGAGCAGAGUGACAGGUGGUGCAUGGUUGUCGUCACUGUGUCGUGAGAUGUUGGGUUAAGUCCCGCAACGAGCGCACCCUUGAUUUAGUUGCCAUCAUUAAGUUGGGCACUCUAAGGUGACUGCCGGUGACAAACCGGAGGAAGGUGGGGAGACGUCAAAUCAUCAUGCCCCUUAUGACCUGGGCUACACACGUGCUACAAUGGACGGUACAAAGAGCUGCAAGACCGCGAGGUGGAGCUAAUCUCAUAAAACCGUUCUCAGUUCGGAUUGUAGGCUGCAACUCGCCUACAUGAAGCUGGAAUCGCUAGUAAUCGCGGAUCAGCAUGCCGCGGUGAAUACGUUCCCGGGCCUUGUACACACCGCCCGUCACACCGAGAGUUUGUAACACCCGAAGUCGGUGGGGUAACCUUUUUGGAGCCAGCCGCCUAAGGUGGGACAAAUGAUUGGGGUGAAGUCGUAACAAGUGUAGCCG
RNAcentral lists this ribosomal RNA (536 nucleotides) under Bacillus sp. (in: firmicutes). Its description in RNAcentral is "bacterial SSU rRNA". It matches the Rfam family "Bacterial small subunit ribosomal RNA", at positions 960 to 1502 of the family's 1533-position model. Lineage: Bacteria; Bacillati; Bacillota; Bacilli; Caryophanales; Bacillaceae. The record is from RNAcentral.